This 253-nucleotide ribosomal RNA is filed under the name uncultured bacterium. Its description in RNAcentral is "partial 16S ribosomal RNA". It matches the Rfam family "Bacterial small subunit ribosomal RNA", at positions 524 to 776 of the family's 1533-position model. The record is from RNAcentral.
UACGUAGGGGGCAAGCGUUGUCCGGAUUUAUUGGGCGUAAAGAGCGUGUAGGCGGCCUGAAAGGUCAGCUGUGAAAACUCGAGGCUCAACCUCGAGACGUCGGUUGAAACCAUCUGGCUAGAGUCCGGGAGAGGAGAGUGGAAUUCCUGGUGUAGCGGUGAAAUGCGCAGAUAUCAGGAAGAACACCCGUGGCGAAAGCGGCUCUCUGGAACGGUACUGACGCUGAGACGCGAAAGCGUGGGGAGCGAACAGG